GACGAACGCUGGCGGCGUGCCUAAUACAUGCAAGUAGAACGCUGAAGGAGGAGCUUGCUUCUCUGGAUGAGUUGCGAACGGGUGAGUAACGCGUAGGUAACCUGCCUGGUAGCGGGGGAUAACUAUUGGAAACGAUAGCUAAUACCGCAUAAGAUUGACUAUUGCAUGAUAGUCAGUUAAAAGGUGCAAUUGCAUCACUACCAGAUGGACCUGCGUUGUAUUAGCUAGUUGGUGGGGUAACGGCUCACCAAGGCGACGAUACAUAGCCGACCUGAGAGGGUGAUCGGCCACACUGGGACGGAGACACGGCCCAGACUCCUACGGGAGGCAGCAGUAGGGAAUCUUCGGCAAUGGACGGAAGUCUGACCGAGCAACGCCGCGUGAGUGAAGAAGGGUUUCGGAUCGUAAAGCUCUGUUGUAAGAGAAGAACGAGUGUGAGAGUGGAAAGUUCACACUGUGACGGUAUCUUACCAGAAAGGGACGGCUAACUACGUG
RNAcentral lists this ribosomal RNA (495 nucleotides) under uncultured bacterium. RNAcentral describes it as "partial 16S ribosomal RNA". It matches the Rfam family "Bacterial small subunit ribosomal RNA", at positions 28 to 507 of the family's 1533-position model. The record is from RNAcentral.